CAAUAGCGUAUAUUAAAGUUGUUGCAGUUAAAAAGCUCGAAGUUGGAUUUCUGGUGGGAGCGAUCGGUCUGGCGCUUAGCGCGAGUACUUGCAUCGUCUCCGGCCAUCCUUGGGGAGAGUCUGUCUGGCAUUAGGUUGUCGGGCAGAGGAUCCUCAUCGUUUACUGUGAAAAAAUUAGAGUGUUCAAAGCAGGCUUAUGCCGUUGAAUAUAUUAGCAUGGAAUAAUAAGAUAGGACUUUGGUACUAUUUUGUUGGUUUGCGCACCAAAGUAAUGAUUAAUAGGGACAGUUGGGGGUAUUCGUAUUCCGUUGUCAGAGGUGAAAUUCUUGGAUUUACGGAAGACGAACUACUGCGAAAGCAUUUACCAAGGAUGUUUUCAUUAA
RNAcentral lists this ribosomal RNA (383 nucleotides) under uncultured eukaryote. Its description in RNAcentral is "partial 18S ribosomal RNA". It matches the Rfam family "Eukaryotic small subunit ribosomal RNA", at positions 592 to 976 of the family's 1831-position model. The record is from RNAcentral.